This 801-nucleotide unclassified non-coding RNA is filed under the name Hevea brasiliensis (rubber tree). The record is from RNAcentral. Lineage: Eukaryota; Viridiplantae; Streptophyta; Magnoliopsida; Malpighiales; Euphorbiaceae.
AGACAUAAAACAUGUGGUGGUGAGCUUAACGUAUCCCUUGCUUCCAACUCAGAGCCCAUGAAUGUUGACAAUCAGGCGCCUGGAUCGGGUAGAGCCCGGAGAGAUGCUGCAGCACGUGCAAUGCAGGGUUGGCACUCACAACGUCUUCUUGGUAAUGGAGAAGUUAGUGAUCCUAUCAUUAAGGAUAAGAAUUCUCUGUCUUUACAAAAGCGUGAAAAACAGCUUAAAAGCUUAGGUUUACUUAAACGCAAGAAAUCGUCUUACAUGGAACAUGCUGUUAAAGCUGCACGCACCAAAACAUCUAAACCACAAUUGGAUGUAGAGGUGGUUGACCUUGGACCUCCAGCUGAUUGGGUGAAGAUCAAUGUACAGAGAAUGAAAGAUUGCUUUGAGGUAUAUGCUUUGGUACCAGGGCUUCUUCGUGAAGAGGUUCGAGUUCAAUCAGACCCAGCAGGGCGAUUGGUUAUCAGUGGUGAACCUGAGCAUCCUGAUAANNNNNNNNNNNNCACCGUUCAGAAAGGUGGUUAGCUUACCCUCGAGGAUUGACCCACAUCAAACUUCCGCUGUGGUCACCCUGCACGGACAACUAUUUAUUCGUGUCCCAUUUGAGCAGUCAGACUAGAUAGGAGUUUCACAAAUGUCUAUUGUCCAUUCCCUCCAAUAUUUCUAUUAAGUGGGUGUGCCUACAUUUUUAGUUUUGAACUCUGAUGUAUGUUUCUCCUAAUAGGUAAUAGAUUAUUAUAAUUUCUUAAUAUUUAGCUAGGAGGCUUUUCAAAUAGGACACGAAUAAAUAGUUGUCCG